This 253-nucleotide ribosomal RNA is filed under the name uncultured bacterium. RNAcentral's name for it is "partial 16S ribosomal RNA". It matches the Rfam family "Bacterial small subunit ribosomal RNA", at positions 524 to 776 of the family's 1533-position model. The record is from RNAcentral.
UACGAAGGGUGCUAGCGUUGUUCGGAAUUACUGGGCGUAAAGCGCACGUAGGCGGAUCGUUAAGUCGGGGGUGAAAUCCUGGAGCUCAACUCCAGAACUGCCUUCGAUACUGGCGAUCUAGAGUCCGGAAGAGGUGAGUGGAACUCCUAGUGUAGAGGUGGAAUUCGUAGAUAUUAGGAAGAACACCAGUGGCGAAGGCGGCUCACUGGUCCGGUACUGACGCUGAGGUGCGAAAGCGUGGGGAGCAAACAGG